This is a long non-coding RNA of Erpetoichthys calabaricus (reedfish), 669 nucleotides long. RefSeq lists it as uncharacterized. The transcript is spliced from 5 exons. Lineage: Eukaryota; Metazoa; Chordata; Cladistia; Polypteriformes; Polypteridae. The record is from RefSeq and is a predicted model, not a curated record.
CAAAGACAAGUCCAGGCCUGUUGGUGGUUCACUGCUCUCGAAGACACAUACACACGAGCGUUUCAAGGGGCAGAGCCGCCGGUCUCUACUGUUUUGGGAUUCCCCGCAGAAAGCGGUCUGUCUCCGAAUCACGAGAAUUAUAUCCCUGUAGAGUCUCCGAUUUAUUAUACGGUUUCAGAAGCUAGUCCUUUACAGAGUGAAGAAGUUUCUCAAAGGGCAUCCUCCGGGUUGACCAAUUGCAGCCCCAGUCCCCCGGGUAUUUUAACGCAAGUGCUGGACGGAUCAGAAAAUAUAAACUUGUAUCGUAACUGGCGGAAUCUACAAACACCUCCACCCUCUGAGAGAGGCGUUCAGUAUUUUCCGGCGCCCUAUGGGAGCGGCACCCUCUUUUUCUAACAGGCGGACCCCUUUGUUGGCGCCGCUUCACUCUGAACACGGAUAUCGGCUUAAAACCGCUAUUCCCUUCAUCCUGACUACCAGCAGAGACAUCGACAAAGACUGGAACAACUGACCGCACAACUUCACCAAUUAUUGGCAGACUUUGUAGAAUUGGAGGCUCCUGUGUACAACUCUACACCCGAAAUGUGUUUAGACUUGAUGCAUAUGAAUGCCUUUUACAUCCAUCUAACCCGUAAAUAAAGGAGCCGUUUAAUAUUUAUGAAAAUAAUA